CAGGCCUAACACAUGCAAGUCGAGGGGCAGCAUGAUCUUAGCUUGCUAAGAUUGAUGGCGACCGGCGCACGGGUGAGUAACGCGUAUCCAACCUUCCCCUUAGUAGGGCAUAGCCCGUAGAAAUGCGGAUUAAUACCCUAUGUUGUAUAUUGAGGACAUCUGAUUUAUACCAAAGGUUUACCGCUAAGGGAUGGGGAUGCGUCUGAUUAGGUUGUUGGCGGGGCAACGGCCCACCAAGCCGACGAUCAGUAGGGGUUCUGAGAGGAAGGUCCCCCACAUUGGAACUGAGACACGGUCCAAACUCCUACGGGAGGCAGCAGUGAGGAAUAUUGGUCAAUGGACGAGAGUCUGAACCAGCCAAGUAGCGUGCAGGAUGACGGCCCUAUGGGUUGUAAACUGCUUUUAUACGGGGAUAAAGUGACCCACGUGUGGGUUUUUGUAGGUACCGUAUGAAUAAGGACCGGCUAAUUCCGUGCCAGCAGCCGCGGUAAUACGGAAGGUCCGGGCGUUAUCCGGAUUUAUUGGGUUUAAAGGGAGCGCAGGCCGAUGGUUAAGCGUGACGUGAAAUGUAGCCGCUCAACGGCUGAACUGCGUCGCGAACUGGCUGUCUUGAGUGAGUUCGAUGUGGGCGGAAUUCGUGGUGUAGCGGUGAAAUGCUUAGAUAUCACGAAGAACUCCGAUUGCGAAGGCAGCCCACAAGGCCUUUACUGACGCUAAAGCUCGAAGGUGCGGGUAUCGAACAGGAUUAGAUACCCUGGUAGUCCGCACGGUAAACGAUGGAUGCCCGCUGUUUGCGAUAUACUGUGAGCGGCCAAGAGAAAUCGUUAAGCAUCCCACCUGGGGAGUACGCCGGCAACGGUGAAACUCAAAGGAAUUGACGGGGGCCCGCACAAGCGGAGGAACAUGUGAUUUAACUCGAAGCAACGCGAAGAACCUUACCGGGUCUUGACAUCGAGUGACCGGUGCAGAGAUGCACCUUUCUCUUCGGAGACACGAAGACAGGUGGUGCAUGGUUGUCGUCAGCUCGUGUCGUGAGAUGUUGGGUUAAGUCCCGCAACGAGCGCAACCCUUAUGAUUAGUUGCUACGCAAGAGCACUCUAAUCAGACUGCCGUUGACAAAACGGAGGAAGGUGGGGAUGACGUCAAAUCAUCAUGCCCUUUAUGACCCGGGCCUCACACGUACUACAAUGGCGUUGAACAAAGAGAAGCAAAACCGCGAGGUGGAGCAAAUCUCGAAAAAACGUCUCAGUUCAGAUUGCAGGCUGCAACUCGCCUGCAUGAAGUCGGAACUGCUAGUAAUCGCGGAUCAGCAUGCCGCGGUGAAUACGUUCCCGG
RNAcentral lists this ribosomal RNA (1335 nucleotides) under uncultured rumen bacterium. RNAcentral's name for it is "bacterial SSU rRNA". It matches the Rfam family "Bacterial small subunit ribosomal RNA", at positions 43 to 1377 of the family's 1533-position model. The record is from RNAcentral.